CCUACGGGUGGCAGCAGUCGAGAAUCAUUCACAAUGGGGGAAACCCUGAUGGUGCGACGCCGCGUGGGGGAAUGAAGGUCUUCGGAUUGUAAACCCCUGUCAUGUGGGAGCAAAUUAAAAAGAUAGUACCACAAGAGGAAGAGACGGCUAACUCUGUGCCAGCAGCCGCGGUAAUACAGAGGUCUCAAGCGUUGUUCGGAAUCACUGGGCGUAAAGCGUGCGUAGGCUGUUUCGUAAGUCGUGUGUGAAAGGCGCGGGCUCAACCCGCGGACGGCACAUGAUACUGCGAGACUAGAGUAAGGGAGGGGGAACCGGAAUUCGCGGUGUAGCAGUGAAAUGCGUAGAUAGCGAGAGGAACACUCGUGGCGAAGGCGGGUUCCUGGACAUUAACUGACGCUGAGGCACGAAGGCCAGGGGAGCGAAAGGGAUUAGAUACCCGGGUAGUC
This 446-nucleotide ribosomal RNA is filed under the name uncultured bacterium. Its description in RNAcentral is "partial 16S ribosomal RNA". It matches the Rfam family "Bacterial small subunit ribosomal RNA", at positions 338 to 795 of the family's 1533-position model. The record is from RNAcentral.